UACGAAGGGGGCUAGCGUUGCUCGGAAUCACUGGGCGUAAAGGGUGCGUAGGCGGGUCUUUAAGUCAGGGGUGAAAUCCUGGAGCUCAACUCCAGAACUGCCUUUGAUACUGAGGAUCUUGAGUUCGGGAGAGGUGAGUGGAACUGCGAGUGUAGAGGUGAAAUUCGUAGAUAUUCGCAAGAACACCAGUGGCGAAGGCGGGUCUCUGGGCCGUUACUGACGCUGAGGAGCGAAAGCGUGGGGAGCGAACAGG
This 253-nucleotide ribosomal RNA is filed under the name uncultured bacterium. RNAcentral describes it as "partial 16S ribosomal RNA". It matches the Rfam family "Bacterial small subunit ribosomal RNA", at positions 524 to 776 of the family's 1533-position model. The record is from RNAcentral.